GUCUCCCUAAACUUACUUUUGCCCAUGGGAUUUUUAAAAGUCAUUUUUCAUAAAAGUAUUACCGAAAAAGAAAAUACUAUUUCUACGCAUAGAGAAGCAAGAGGUCUCAAAAUUGCCAAUCAAUCAGUGAAAGACGUCGUACCCUUUUACUCAAAAUCUUAUGACGCGACGUUAUUGUUAACUCACUGACGGCAAAUAUUCUUG
This 204-nucleotide long non-coding RNA is filed under the name Mytilus galloprovincialis (Mediterranean mussel). Lineage: Eukaryota; Metazoa; Mollusca; Bivalvia; Mytilida; Mytilidae. The record is from RNAcentral.